This 650-nucleotide ribosomal RNA is filed under the name Sphingobacteriaceae bacterium 50(2013). Its description in RNAcentral is "bacterial SSU rRNA". It matches the Rfam family "Bacterial small subunit ribosomal RNA", at positions 68 to 716 of the family's 1533-position model. Lineage: Bacteria; Pseudomonadati; Bacteroidota; Sphingobacteriia; Sphingobacteriales; Sphingobacteriaceae. The record is from RNAcentral.
GGAUUCGGUAGCUUGCUACCGAUGAGAGUGGCGCACGGGUGCGUAACGCGUGAGCAACCUGCCUGCUUCAGGGGGAUAGCCCGGAGAAAUCCGGAUUAAGCCCGCAUAUGAUCACGCUGUUGCAUGACAGGGUGAUGAAAUAUUUAUAGGAAGCAGAUGGGCUCGCGUGACAUUAGCUUGUUGGUAGGGUAACGGCCUACCAAGGCGACGAUGUCUAGGGGCUCUGAGAGGAGAACCCCCCACACUGGUACUGAGACACGGACCAGACUCCUACGGGAGGCAGCAGUAAGGAAUAUUGGUCAAUGGAGGGAACUCUGAACCAGCCAUGCCGCGUGCAGGAAGACGGCCCUACGGGUUGUAAACUGCUUUUGCACGGGAAUAACCCUCGCUAUGUAUAGUGAGCUGAAUGUACCGUGAGAAUAAGGAUCGGCUAACUCCGUGCCAGCAGCCGCGGUAAUACGGAGGAUCCGAGCGUUAUCCGGAAUUAUUGGGUUUAAAGGGUGCGUAGGCGGGAUGCUAAGUCAGGGGUGAAAGACGGUGGCUCAACCAUCGCAGUGCCUUUGAUACUGGUGUCCUUGAAUGUAGAUGAGGUAGGCGGAAUGUGGCAAGUAGCGGUGAAAUGCAUAGAUAUGCCACAGAACACCGAUUGC